This 73-nucleotide transfer RNA is filed under the name Felis catus (domestic cat). It matches the Rfam family "tRNA". Rfam says of the family: Transfer RNA (tRNA) molecules are approximately 80 nucleotides in length. Their secondary structure includes four short double-helical elements and three loops (D, anti-codon, and T loops). The record is from Rfam by way of RNAcentral. Lineage: Eukaryota; Metazoa; Chordata; Mammalia; Carnivora; Felidae.
GCCUGGCUGGCUCAGUCGGUAGAGCAUAUGACUCUUGAUCUUGGGGCUGUGAGUUUGAGCCCCACGUUGGGCG